Alligator mississippiensis (American alligator) is the source of this 3397-nucleotide long non-coding RNA. RefSeq lists it as uncharacterized. Lineage: Eukaryota; Metazoa; Chordata; Crocodylia; Alligatoridae. The record is from RefSeq and is a predicted model, not a curated record. The transcript has 2 exons.
AAUACACUAGAAAUAUGGAAGUGCUUUAAGAUUUAUAUCCUUUUACAAAAGUGACUGAGGUACUUUCUGGUCUGAUUUUUCAAAGGAUUGGGGGGAGGGGGGCGCUAAGAAUGUAGGUUAAGCACUUGUGAGGCUUUUCAAAACCACUUGGGGAAACUAACCACCAGUGAUUUGGGAAAGGGCAUUAUAUUAAGAGGAGAACCUGUGCUCAUAGGUCAUUAAAAAGGAUGGGUGAGACAAUAAAAUAAGGGAAAGGAAUGUGAUUAGACUGAAAAUCUGAGGAGGAAGGGGAGGGAGUUGAGGGCAAUUAGCAUUCAUGAGGCAGAAAUAAGAUGCUGAAUUUGGUGGGAAAGUAAAAGAAAGAAAGCAGAGCAGAAACUUCCAUGUCAUUAAUGGAAAGUAUGAGAGGAUGACAGAGGCAUGGAGAGGUCAUAGCAUAUGUAGUCAAUCUGUUUGAAAGAGUCAACAAUAGUAUUGGCAAAAAAAAAAAAAGAGGAAAAACAGGAUUUUUUAGGAAAGAACGAAAGGCAAUGAACAGAUAGUUUGACAGCAUAUGUGGGAUUCAGUGAGAGAAGAAAAAAAAAGUGCUGCCUAACUUGGAAGGUGACAAAACUGAAGGAAGAAAGAAAGUUUACUGUAGGGAUAAAGUGAUUUUACAGGUAAAUCCAUAGGGGAGAGAAGAAAGAGGAGGAGGAGACAAAGAAAUUGUCCAGAUAUUUUGCUUCAGUGGUGUUCCUGAAGUGUGACCUUAAAGAUCCUGCAGCUGCACACAGGGGACAGUCAGUAGUUGGCAGGCAGGAUGGAGUCUAAGAGUCACUGCCACCCUCUGCUGGGGUUCUGUGAAUAUGCCAGCUCUGCCAGAGGAGUACCCUGGACCAGACCCACCUCCUGGACUGGCUGUUGAUGGCAAUGGAGGAGCAUCUGGAGGACAUGUGGGCAUGGUGGGCAGAAGGCAUCGCCUGGCAGGCAGAGGAUGUCUCCAUGAGGAUGUAUAGAACUGGCAUGAGGAGGCAUAGGAAUGGAUAGCCCAGGAGUUCAAGGCAAGGCUCCCAGCCCUGGAGGAGUGGCACACUGAGGCUGUGCUCAUGGCUAGGGCAGUGGAGGUGACAGAGGAGGCCUGCUGGGUGCUGAACAUCAUCCUGGCCCUGGUAGUGGUGGCUUACUGAAGAGUAAAAUGCUCCUGGAUCCAGUGCAUUUAUAGAUGCACCCACUGCUGCCUCUAAUGGGCACAUCCAGAUGAGCACUCCCAUGAAUUUCCCUGGGGAUAAAUAGCAGCGGACUUAGCUGUACUGCUGCUACUCAUCCCCAGGGACUGCCCAUGCACAUACAGACUGAUACAUGGCAAGUUACCCUGGGUGGGUAGGGGAGCCUGGGAUAAGCACCUAGGGUCCUGGGGUCCUCCCAGGGCUCCAGUGGCAGCAAUCUGGCAUCAGGAACCUGGUCGGCAGCCAGAUCAUGUCUCUGGCUGGUCAGGCUCCAGUUUUGGGUGGUGCACACUGCCACCACAUGCACUGCCCCCCUUUUUUCUAUCAUGGAUGGUUUUUUGGUCAACCCUGCCCACCCUCCACCUCUGCAUAUGUGGUAUGUGCAGUGUGCAGCGCUGCAGACUGCUCAUGCACACUCAUCUGGAUGUGCCCAAUGAGUUUAACCACCCCACCAGACAUCUUAAACAUUUGCUAACACUGGUGGUGUAUGUAUACAGCUAUGUAUGUGCAUUAGUGCCCUCUACUGGAUACAAGUUCAGUGAAGUAUGCAAACAGUUUAUCUACUCAAUGGCUAGAAUAGAGAAAUACUCUCACUGCAAGUGGUUUAUAGAGAUUUUUUCUCGAACUCAAGAAGAGACAACCUUUUCACUGUAAUAUUAUCAGUGAAUAUCCAGAAUAUCCAAGGCAAUGUAUACAAGUAGGUGGUGAUAUGUGGCAAUGUCUAACUAGUUGAUGGUGCAUUGCAUACAAUGAGUUUAGCAAGAUUAGUAAAACUGACAAGCAGAAAGGAGUUGAAAACCCUGGGCAGACAGUUAUAGGAAAAAUAACAUCGGCAUAUAUAAAAAUCACCUGAGCCUUCUUCCCCUUCUUUGUCAUCUUCUGAGUUGCUAAGUUGUUCCCUAGAAUGGCAGGUUUGGGUUUUAUCUGCAACAUCCUAAAAUUGAAGGGAGGGUAAACUGUGUCUGGAGUAUAAAUAACUGUUUCUCAAAACUCUGGGGCAAUAGCUAUGGUCACAUUUUUAUGGGUGAAGAUAAAAAUUAAUACCAAUAUAUACACCCACUGUGUAGAGGAAGAGAGAAGAAUUAGGGGGCAGGAUAUUUCAGCAGAGCCGGUAUUAGCAUUUGGCCAUGGAGGGAGCUUUGCAUGUGUUCUUCCUAGAUCAGGUAUGCAAUGUUAUAGGGAGCUAUAGAAUUGUGAAAUGUCAAAUACAUACACAUGCACACACACACACACACACACACCCCUCUCAAUACCUAGAACUUUAAUUUGAUUUUAAAAACUUCUAACUAUAUUACUGAAGAAUGUAAGGUAAUUGGAGAUAGAGCUGGGCUUUAAUAAUUUCUUGUUUAAAAAAUAUGAAUAUGGUACAAUACCUCAAUAAUGUAAACAAUCUUGUGAUAUCCCAGUGGGGCCCAACCUUUUUGUCAGGCAUGCCACAAAUUAUCCCUGUACCCUCCCUAAGUGCCACUUUGAUCCCCUUCCCCUGUGCAAUCUGCUGCUCUGCUUUCUGCUCCCUGCCUUAUCUGCCACUGCACUGCCUGUCCUCUCCUUGCAUACUAUACACAGAGGCUAUCUGUACCACAGGUUGGCUACUUCUGCCAUACCCUAUCUUUGCAUUGCCCGGCAGUUGGCUUUAUAAAGCCAGGUGUUCAGUGACAUGGCUCUUUGGAGUUAAGUCCCAGCUGGUGUUUUCCAAGUCUCAACCAGGGACUCGCUCACUGAGUUAAAACAAUGAGCGUAUGUAGGCUCAGAACAUUGAAAAAUUGCUCAGCUUUGCUGCAACUGGAGGAACAGACACUGAUUUGUUGACUAGGCUAGGAUAUUUUUGUUGUCUUGUUGGGUUUCAGCUUAUUUGUUUGGUAUUUAUGGGUAAUUAAAACUGCUUGAAGGAAACAUGGCCAAGAACUUUACUGGUUUCUGUUAUUUUUUCUUGAACAAGCACACUGUAGUAAAAUAGGAAUCUCAAAGAGAUCUCUUUCUCUCAUGCUCUUUUGCUUAAUUUUUUGCUUACUUGUGAACUUUUUCUUGUUUUCAUACUUUGCCCUGUUGCAAGUGACCACAUAUUAUCCAUAAAGAAACCUUUGAACAACAGUGAAAUAAAUAAGUGAACUGACAAUGUAUUAAAAUGUUGAAUUUUCCACUUUGGGAAACUGCAAAAUUGAAUUAAUAAACUUUCCAAAAUAAUGGAGACA